AGAGGGAGGUUACGCGUGUUACGUGUGUGUAUGUAAUGUUAUACAUUUGUUAUGUGUGUCAGAAAGAAUGGUUGGAUGUGAGAAGCAAGAAAGAAGAGAGAGAAAGAGAGAAAAAAAAAGAGAGAGAGAAAGAGAAAAAAAGUGAAAGAGA
Long non-coding RNA from Vespula pensylvanica (western yellowjacket), 151 nucleotides. RefSeq lists it as uncharacterized. Lineage: Eukaryota; Metazoa; Arthropoda; Insecta; Hymenoptera; Vespidae. The transcript is spliced from 3 exons. The record is from RefSeq and is a predicted model, not a curated record.